CGAACAUGCCGAGGCCACGGGAGGCCGCGCCAGACGCGGGCAUCAGGGGCCUGUGGGCCGAGUACAUGGUCCGGCGCGGGGGGUGCCCGGUAGAGGCUCGCACCUCCUCAGUGGGCACCUCCUUAGUGGCCGACGACGCUCCGCCCGCAGCGAGCUCCUCGGCCGUUGCUGCUUGGGCCCGGGGGGAGCCGAAGGCCGUCGCCGCAUGCCCCCCCCGCCCCCCCCUCAGGCUGGCCCACGCGGGGGGUCUCUGUCGGGGCGCGCCUGCGCACAGCGUUGCCCGCCUCCCACCGCCCAGGGGGCGGGGGAGGUCAGCGAUUGCCGGCCCCGCCCCUGGCCGAAGCUCAGCGCCGGGUCGACCUCCGGCCCCGGGCGAGCAGAUGGACCAGCGGAUCAAACUCGGGACCUUGUGCUUGUGAAGCAGGCGGCAGAACCACUGAACUAAAUCCUGGGCCCUCCACACUGAAAUAAAUUUUAAAAAACAUUUUUUAAAUAACCAUAUCAAACAG
Molecule: long non-coding RNA, 509 nt
Filed under: Heterocephalus glaber (naked mole-rat)
Lineage: Eukaryota; Metazoa; Chordata; Mammalia; Rodentia; Bathyergidae
Description: lncRNA (ENSHGLG00100045044.1)
Source: RNAcentral